GUGGGGAAUCUUGCGCAAUGGGCGAAAGCCUGACGCAGCCAUGCCGCGUGAAUGAUGAAGGUCUUAGGAUUGUAAAAUUCUUUCACCGGGGACGAUAAUGACGGUACCCGGAGAAGAAGCCCCGGCUAACUUCGUGCCAGCAGCCGCGGUAAUACGAAGGGGGCUAGCGUUGCUCGGAAUUACUGGGCGUAAAGGGCGCGUAGGCGGACAGUUUAGUCAGAGGUGAAAGCCCAGGGCUCAACCUUGGAAUUGCCUUUGAUACUGGCUGUCUUGAGUACGGGAGAGGUGAGUGGAACUCCGAGUGUAGAGGUGAAAUUCGUAGAGAUUCGGAAGAACACCAGUGGCGAAGGCGACUCACUGGCCCGUUACUGACGCUGAGGCGCGAAAGCGUGGGGAGCAAACAGGAUUAGAAACCCUAGUAGUCC
RNAcentral lists this ribosomal RNA (425 nucleotides) under uncultured bacterium. RNAcentral describes it as "partial 16S ribosomal RNA". It matches the Rfam family "Bacterial small subunit ribosomal RNA", at positions 354 to 796 of the family's 1533-position model. The record is from RNAcentral.